AGCCCCGCUGGGGCCCGAACUGGCCGGCCUUGCUCUGCGGGUCCUGAGAAGUGGCCUCUGUGUCGGGAGCCCGGCUGAGAUGCCAGGUGUUGGAGAAGCCGGUUAAGGCAACAAGGCGAACAGGAAAGAGAUGCAGUUUACGUGAACUGACCCCUCUUCUCAACUUAGCCUAAGUGCUGUCUCUGAGGUCACAGGUUUCUCGUCCUGGUUUUCUGAGUACACAUGAAAGUCAUCCAUAAAAAGGCUGGAUGCCAGUCGCUCACCUGCCCAUGAUUGACGAGCAGCGUCCCAACCUGUGACAAGGAGUGGAAGUAGAAGAUGCCACCCAAGGUCCCGUCCGGUUCUGCCUGUGAAACAAUCCAACAGACACCGCGGGUGAGCAUGUUCUGAGCCGAAGCCUGGCUGCAGACUUAACUCCAGACUCCGAAACAAGCUGAAAUGAAGGAAAGUCUUUUUUAUUAUGCUCGGUUUCCCCUGUUUGGAGCUGCGGCAUGUGAGGCAGAACCUCGGGUGAAGGCGGUG
Molecule: long non-coding RNA, 522 nt
Organism: Manis pentadactyla (Chinese pangolin)
Lineage: Eukaryota; Metazoa; Chordata; Mammalia; Pholidota; Manidae
Exons: 3
Source: RefSeq, a predicted model, not a curated record